AACAUUUCAAAAAGGAGAGUACAUAAUACAACAAACAAAAGCGUUGUUUUACAAAAUGAGAUAGAGAGAGAAAGCUUCAAAUCUAGAGAGAGAGGAAGAUGUUCUAUUGCAGCUUUACAAACUCCAGCUCUUGAUUCUUCUUCUCUUUGCCGUUUUGCUUCAGCCUCUUCUUGCCCAAAGUGUCUCCUCGAAUCUGUCUUUUUUUCUGUGCGAAAAAUUCCUAUUUGUACUCCCUUCUUCAUUCAGCCUUGACCUAGAUUCCCGAGCCAAGUAUUUUCCUUUUUCUGACGUGUUCUAGCUGCAGCGAGAUUGGAUUCUUGCUGCAGCAAGCUAGAAGUUGACUUGGCGUUGCAAUGCUCUUCAUUUUUGCUGCAGCGAGAUUGGAUUCUUGUUGCAGCGAAAAUCCUACUGCCUCUUUUUGCCCUGUUUCUCACUGCAGCGAAAAACUCUUUGCCUGGACAUUUUUGCUGCUGCAGCUUUGAGCUCUCUGCCACCAUGUUCUCCUCCUUCAAGUUGCCUCGUGCAGAGUUGUUGUGAUCCUCACAAUCAACUUCUCUUUCGGCUCCAUGAUUCCUUCAACAUCAAAAGGUUCAAUAGUUAGAGGUUGAUUUAAAAAAUUUUGAAAAGAAAUGAAGUUAAAAUGGUCUAAAUGACACUAGACACCCUAAGAGUUAACUUAUACUAAAAAACAUGAAAAUUUACUAAGGACUAAG
This 713-nucleotide long non-coding RNA is filed under the name Theobroma cacao (cacao). RNAcentral's name for it is "long non-coding RNA (TCAC_LNC004038)". The record is from RNAcentral. Lineage: Eukaryota; Viridiplantae; Streptophyta; Magnoliopsida; Malvales; Malvaceae.